RNAcentral lists this ribosomal RNA (492 nucleotides) under uncultured bacterium. RNAcentral describes it as "partial 16S ribosomal RNA". It matches the Rfam family "Bacterial small subunit ribosomal RNA", at positions 29 to 507 of the family's 1533-position model. The record is from RNAcentral.
AGUGAACGCUGGCGGUAGGCCUAACACAUGCAAGUCGAACGGCAGCACAGUAAGAGCUUGCUCUUACGGGUGGCGAGUGGCGGACGGGUGAGGAAUACACCGGAAUCUACUUUUUCGUGGGGGAUAACGUAGGGUAACUUACGCUAAUACCGCAUACGACAUACGGGUGAAAGCAGGAGAUCUUCGGACCUUGCGCGAUUGAAUGAGCCGAUGUCGGAUUAGCUAGUUGGCGGGGUAAAGGCCUACCAAGGCGACGAUCCGUAGCUGGUCUGAGAGGAUGAUCAGCCACACUGGAACUGAGACACGGUCCAGACUCCUACGGGAGGCAGCAGUGGGGAAUAUUGGACAAUGGGCGAAAGCCUGAUCCAGCCAUACCGCGUGGGUGAAGAAGGCCUUCGGGUUGUAAAGCCCUUUUGUUGGGAAAGAAAAGCAGCAGGUUAAUACCCCGCUGUUCUGACGGUACCGAAAGAAUAAGCACCGGCUAACUUCGUG